CCUACGGGAGGCAGCAGUGGGGAAUAUUGGGCAAUGGGCGCAAGCCUGACCCAGCAACGCCGCGUGAAGGAAGAAGGCUUUCGGGUUGUAAACUUCUUUUCUCAGGGACGAAGCAAGUGACGGUACCUGAGGAAUAAGCCACGGCUAACUACGUGCCAGCAGCCGCGGUAAUACGUCGGUGGCAAGCGUUAUCCGGAUUUACUGGGUGUAAAGGGCGUGUAGGCGGGAAAGCAAGUCAGAUGUGAAAACUAUGGGCUCAACCGGUGGCCUGCAUUUGAAACUGUUUUUCUUGAGUACUGUAGAGGCAGACGGAAUUCCUAGUGUAGCGGUGAAAUGCGUAGAUAUUAGGAGGAACACCAGUGGCGAAGGCGGUCUGCUGGACAGCAACUGACGCUGAGGCGCGAAAGCGUGGGGAGCAAACAGGAUUAGAUACCCCUGUAGUC
RNAcentral lists this ribosomal RNA (443 nucleotides) under uncultured bacterium. RNAcentral's name for it is "partial 16S ribosomal RNA". It matches the Rfam family "Bacterial small subunit ribosomal RNA", at positions 338 to 795 of the family's 1533-position model. The record is from RNAcentral.